CUUGUGGGAAAUGAUCCCACUACGGUUGCAGGAAAAACAGCCAAGUGAACCACUAUAUUGUCAACGACCAAGACAUCUCAACAACCUAAUAGAAACAAACAUACUGUACAAAUUCCAGCAUAGUGAAUAUUAUCUCUGUUCUGGAGCUAGAGGGUGUGUUUUGGCCACUGAAGGACUUUUGCAGAAGGAGCAGCCUGAUGGAGCGAGACAUGCUGCAGACACCUCCAGCUGAUCAGCCUCUAAUCUCUUUUUCCUCACCUAUGUCCGCUGCUGAUCAGAUAUCUGCUUCCUCCUGGCUCUCCCUCUGCUCACUUCCAGUCUGGACUGUACACUCCCAUCUACUGCAGCAAGCUUCAUUGCGGUAACGGCUGGGACACAUCCAGCCAGUGCCGCAAUACUCUCAUAUUCUAUUCUCUCUAGUGGAUGUGUGAGUGUGUGUGUGUGCGUGUGUGUGUGUGCGUGUUUGCGUGUGAAUAUACUGUAAGUGUGAGUAAGUGCUUUCUGACUCAAGCUUCAGUGUUCACAGCGCAUAUCUGAGUGCUUUAAAGGCACAACUAACAUUUCCCAUCGUCAUUGUAUCCAUUUACGUAUAUGAACAGAAUAAACAGGCUUAGGCAUAUACCUGUACAGUACAGCAAAUUGUCCAUUAGGGGACACUGCGGCAAGAGACAGGUUAACUUAUAUUCCGCACAAAUACUUAAAAGAAGGAGAAAGCUCAUUUUUGGAAAGUGACUGUUUUUGAAUGGAGGAUUUAACUAAACGGCAUUCUACUGUUCGCAGUGCUUAGGAGAGAAUGCAGUUAUGUGUUAGUGCUUAGUGGAAAAUACAGUUGAGGACAAACACAUUAGAGCAAGAAAAUGAAGCACUCAUGUUGAUUACUCUGACUAGAGAAGGUAAUGUCCCCAGCACAGGCUUAUUGUAGUCUGAUGAUAGCAUUAUACUCAUCACGGCCAGUUGACUUUAUGGCCCCUUGUGGUUUGCAGAGACUGAUAAGGAUGGAUUUCCAUAUUUUUUUACUUUCACUAUCACUUAUUUUCAAUGGUAAAAUUUCAUUAAAAAAAAAGUUCAAAAUCAAACACAGCCCUAUCAGUUUUCACAAUAAAUUUGUCCAGUAGCCUGGUUAUGUUUGAAAUAUGUUUUUGUCCAGUUCAGCAAGAAUCUUGAUAAACCAUACGAUCAAUGACAUUCCAGAUUGGAAAAACUCUUUUAGAGAUGGUUUUGUUAAAACUCCGGCAGUCAAGCAAGAGGGCUUCCUGUUGUAACUUCCCCCUCAUGUGGCUUGGUUUCCUUCCCAGAGUGCCGGUGAAGCACAGACAUCUGUCAAAAAACCGUAAAGGGGGUUCAGAUGUAAUUCAUGGGAAAGAAGAGGAGGAACAAAGGGUUCCUUGGGGUCUAAACUCCACCAAAGCCUGCAUCUGCAAAUGUAUUUACCACAGGUUGAAAUGUGAAGUGUGAAACAUAAUGGAAUGCGUACAGUACCAGUCUCCACACAGGAAGCGGAGGCGAGCGAGAGGGGAGGGGCUAGUGUUUUGGCGGAGGGCUGUUAGACUGAUGCGGAAAGCAAGGAAUGUGACCUUGCACAAAGACAGUGACUCUUGUGCUAUUUUUGGAUAUGCGGCAAAAAGUAGGAUAGGACAGUCUAAAAAAGCAGGAACAGUAAGAGAAAAACAAACAUCAGUCACGAGCUAAUUUGGAUUUGGCUUCAGGCUAGGGGUAUUUUAUUUCAUCUUUCAACCCUCCAAGGUCCUCAAAGGGUAUUUGGGUUUAGCAAUCCAUUUUUGGUGGAUUUCAAAGGAUGGUGAUGGGGCUGCGGUCACAGGAUCAGUGACUCAUGUUGAUAAACAGAAUUAUCACAUCUCUGUAUCCUAAAUGGAGUUGGACAUUGUUUAAAUUUGGACAACUCCGAUUCUGUAAUUGAUUCACAUUGUCAAUUCCAAUUGACGGCGACACAUUUACAUCCUUGAAUAUAGGCUCAAUGGAAAUAUGCAAUAUGUAUCCAUAUAGCCAUAAUUUAAUAAAUAGAUGAAUGUCGUUUCUGCCUGGAUGAGAAAAGCAAGAUAGGACACGUUAUUGUGUCAUAAUUCAAGCUUGAAGGGGAAGUAAAUUGAGGAUAAGGACAGAGCCAGACAAGCCAUCGGCACUAAUUCCAGACUUGACAUUAGAUACAGGAUAUAUUUUUUUUCCGGCAUUCCUUAUAGAAUUUAGAAUAUUUCUGAUGACUCAUCUCAGCCAACUCAUAACAAGUCAAAAUAAUUAAAAAUCCUGCUUCUUAUUUUAGUUCACAACUGAGAUACAAAGUACAAAAUAACGGAUGGUUCUUUUCUGUAUUAUGAUCAAAAUAUUAUAAAUAUAAAAUAAUUUCCAGUGGUUGUAGUGAGACUAAUGACAUGAAAGAAACCAAAACAAAACGUGAGAGCCAGCUCAAAAUAGCAUUUCUUCGUGGCAUAAAGCAAUUGAGGAUGCUUUCGCUUUUUCUUUCCCUUCAGCACUCCUUUCUUCCAUCUAAAAACGAGGUAGUCAUGUCAACCGAGUGUCUAAAGUAAAAGGUGAAGGGUCAGACCACACCUGCUUACUUGCCCGUCAUUGUGUUCUGUUUAUACAUUUCCACUGACUCAUAUUUACAUCAGGACAGCAGGGUGGUGAUAUAAACCUCAGUUACAGCCAAGAUGAAUAUGAAGAUAUCCCAAGAAUCUUUCAAAUGGGUGCUGACAAGCUCAGAGGCAAUUAAAGGCAAGAACCCACAUUCAGUUAUGAAAUAAUGUGCUUCAAGGUGCUGACAGAAUUCUGACAUUAAAAAUACAUUUUUAUAUGGCCAUCAUUCCUUGUGUAAAACAUCUGUCUGACUUGGAAAGAUGAAGCUGAUUUUGAUUGAUUGAUGUUUACUACAGUACACCCUCAUUAUAGAUACAAAUCUGCCACAUCAGGAAACCAUUUUAAAAUAUUUUUCUUGUUAAUUGGAGAUUUCCACAACUGGAUACAGGCCACAUAAAAAAAAAAUGCAAUGUAGUAUGACUAUGGUAGAGACAGGUUUUUCCCCGAAAGGAAGCAUCAGGACAGACGUUGACGCUGACUGAACGCUUGGGUUCACCCACAACAGCAAAGAGGACAUGAAGCAGAACGGCUUUUGGAGCUUCUCGCUGAUCAUUAAAGUGCUUCAGUUGUCAUAGAGAUAUAAAUGAACCAUGAAUGGACAAUUCUCUCAUGGCAGAGCAACGGGAGCCUUUAGGGCAUUGCGUGAGACGUAACUGCCACAAACGUGUCAUUCCCAGGGACUUUAAUGAUGAUACAGAGGGCUCUUUGAAGUACCACAAUGAACACUGGGCUUUGUGCUUAAUCAAGGCCCCCAAAAAUCUCCACUGACUUACAACAUAACCCACCCCCUUCUAUGUACUACCCCAUGCAGCACACGAAAGCGGCACGGUGCUUACAUAACUUGCUUGCAGACUGAUUUAAAUGAAGUAAAAUUAUAGAGAAAAACUUUCGGAAGCUGGCAUCAAAUCUGCAAACUUCAGUUAUCUUAAAAAAGGUUUUGACUUUUGUCUAGAAAGGCUGAUAUGAACGGGGUCUGAACUGACAGCUUCUGCACAUUUUCUGUGAAAGGCUUUCACAGCAAGUGGCAGUAAUUACAAGGCGAGACAGAGCAAUAAUGACUGAGGACUCCCAGCAGGCUUUGCAACAGCAGGGAGCAUUAUGAAAGCCUCGUCCCCAGGUCACACCACCUCGCCUGCUAUGUUUACCAAAGGACUGAGGACACGCGGGGAUAUUUAAUGAACGCUGCUGACCACCACCAGCCGCUUGCCGUCCAUCCAUGUCUGACUGGUUUUGCUGACAGAGUGGAGCCGGAGAGGGAAUGUUCUUAAAUUGGAUUCAUAAAGAAAUCAUUUGACAUAAUGUGAAGACACUGAAGGCUAUUCAGCUGCAAGAAGUCAUAUGGGCUGAUAACUACGGAACAGAUUAUGAAAACAUUCCUUUAGCUGAUGAUUUGUAGCUGCAUUAAGUAGGACAUUGUCUAAAUGUUGUGUAAUUGUAAUUCAACCAACAUUUAGAAGGAAGACUAAGAAGGUUUCAUCCAUCUUAAUGCAUGAUGGCAUGCAAGACAUUCACUUGUAUAUGGAUUUAUUUCUCCUUUGUAAUGUUCUGAUGUGGGUCCAGGUAUUUUUUGUGAUGGACCACACACAGUUAGACACUUCCCUGGACCAGCAAGCAGAAUUGUCAUGAACCUUUUCUAUUGCUGACACCAACGCGCAAAUAGUUGAGUGAGAUUUGACUGGAAUGGAUAAACAGAUGCAGGUCAAAUGUUUUGGGCAUCAGGCUCGACAACCAGUCUGGCUCUUAUCUUGGAAAGGCGACAGGCUAGAUGGUCCGCUAGAUGAGUCUGGGUUCUUAUCAAGACGGACAUCAAGCGAGUCAUCAGACCAGAUCCUGUUCUCCUUCACUCCCUCUUUCCCUCUCUUGCACCACGACGAUUACCGGACAAUGAUAUCAGCAACUGUACUACAAAUGCUCCUCACAUGAGUACAGACUGAGGCACAUCAGGACAAAUGCAGACAAUUGCGUUUUGUCAACAAUAAAGGCAACACUAACGUGUUCUAACAGAUGGGAAACCACACCAAAGGUAUGUGGCUAUACAAAUGCAAGCUGUGUAUCAACACACUAAAAUCACUGACCUGCUUUUGUCCUCUCUGGAACUGCAGAACUCUGAAAACAAGAAGAAAGAAAUUAUGGACUGCAAUCAAAUGCCAUUAACAUUGAUAAACAAAAACUUUGUGUAACUUCAAACACUUUGAGCUAAACGGUUUUAAAUUGUGACACACCUUCAGACUGGACAAUAAAGAAAUGUCCAGCUGUGUCUGUUAUGGCAAAGAUUGCAAACCCUCCUUUAUAAAUAUUGCAUCAUUAGUAUUUCCCAAGUACAGCAAGAUGUGCUUUGAUCCAUUGUUGACUUAAGCAUGACAUACGUGCCCUUGAGAGGUUUGUGCAAUAACAUCUUCAUUCUGGGAAUGUAAUGGUUCAUGCUUGGGCUUGGCCACAAACAAAAUCUGCAUCACCAUAAUGUUGGCACAAGGAAAACUAUUAUGCAGGUAUUCUACGUGUAUUGUCGUUGGCUUUUGUGUUUAUGUGUGUGUUUGUGUGUGUGUGAGACGUGUGCAAGUGUGUGCAUGGUGGGCAGCAGUCGAUUGGAAUGCAGAGGUCUUUCUUGCCUCUGACUUUUGACCCUGAGUUCCUUGGCUGACCCCCACACCCUGACCUGUUUUAAUCCACACUCCGCUGGAAGAGCUCAGACAAGGGAAGGAAGACAAGAAACAGCUGAUGUCCACAUGAUCCCAACUUCAUCUCCUGUUUCUGAAAACUAUGUCAAGAAUGCCGUGAUGGACAGAAUAACGAAGAAGACCACACGUGACAGCCCUGAGUGCAGAAGUUCAUAAAAAAUGCAUCCGAACUCCACUGACAGCGCACAGUCAUAGCCUAUUGCUAUAAUUUGUGACAUCUUCAUCAUGUACAUUGAAUAAGUACUGUGUGGAUUACUACCAAAAAUGAAUUAGAAGACAAUAGAAAGCUUAACCAUAACCAUGUGACUUUUGUUUCACCAUCCUCAUGAGAGCUUUUAUAUUUUAUGAACCACCGCAACGUGACAAGCGUGACACACUCUGUUGAAAAUGCUUUCAUUCAUUCAUGGCAUGGAGCACUCGAUGAAGUGUUGUCUUUGCACUCAUCGGUUUGAUCCUUUUCUUUUCUAAGAUAGGUAAAAGUCAAAGCAAGUCCAUCACUUGUGAUAAAUCUUGCCAGGUUUGUUCAUGCGGUAAGCCUGUGGUUGGGCUAAGUAUUGAGUAAAACGUGACUUUUUGGACAAUUGCAUUUACAGUUAAUUGCCAACUAAAGACCCCAAAGUAGACCCAAGGGGUAGGCCACAGACCUUAGACUUAACGGUUAUUAAAUCAGCAGGAUAAGCAGAACAAGACUGAGGUAACUUCUGAGACAAAUUUAUGUUCACUGCUAUUACAGCCGCUGUUUGACUCAAGUAAUGUUAGCCCAAAACGACUUUUCUACAUUCCUUUGUGUGUAUGUGUGUGCACGCAGGCAGGCUAAAGACAAUAAUAUUAAUCGUUCGAGCUUUUUAUGUAUUACGUACAAAAGGUCUCUUUCCCCCUAUGGCUGUCUGGCCUCAACUGAUUUAUCUCCUGCCAAAAUUUGGACUCAGUGAGGCUUUUUGUUGUUGAAAUGAUAUAUUUUAGCUGGAAAGAACACAAGGUUAUAGGAAAAGACUGUAUGAUAUUAUGCAAGAAAUGUGUGCUGGAUUCUAUCCUGACUGACUCUGGGUAAAAAAGGGCACAAACAACUCAUUUACGCUAAUUAUCACUGAACGGAAACUUUCGAAUAGGUAAACCACGACACGAUUGGUGACCGCAAGCAUAUCCAACAGUCUAAAUUUAUGGAUUACAACAUUAUGGUGUGGUAUGAUUAUGGUACUGUUUCCAAAAUAUCAGCGAAUAGUCAAAUAAAGUAUAUCCUGUAGUGGUACAAAAAUCAAUACAAUUUUACUUUGACUUGAGAACAAACUAAUUUGAGAUACUAGCGUUGGAAGGUUGCAACAUUUCAAGUUUAACACGAAGAUGGAAUGGUAAUGAAUAAAGGUUUCCAUAUGGGAGGUCUGUGUCCGGCACUAACAAGACAUUUCAGUUCAGCAGUGUGCGCCCUCGCUAUUGUGUAAACACCGCACCACGAGUUCCUGUCAUUGACCCAUGAAGUAAUUUACACAGUCUAAAUCUUCCCCUCCACACAACUCUAUGUUUCCCUCAUAAUAGCAAUUACAGUGAAAUAAAUGUGAGAGACUGCAGAGCCGUGCAGGAAUGCGGAUGAAUGGGUACCAGUGAGUACCACUGUUUUCAUAGCACGGUGGGCGCAUAUUUUCUUGAUUUUCACCCUGAAUUUCCCUCUGACAUGCCACAGAGCAGGUUGGUCCCAGGGGCGAGGUUGUUCCGGCCCGUGUCAGGUGUCCACCGGGGAGCUGUAAGCUGCAAUGCAAUAGGCGUCAGCUGCCUCAUUUACUGCCACUUAUUUUCUGGAAAUAGGUUCUGUUGGGGGCACAUGAUGUUUGGUAUGUUUGCUUUGCACAUGUGUGAGUAUAAAAUGACUGAGAAGUAUGUGUGCCUGAGUGAUAAACCUAUGCUGGGUCCAUAUUCAUGUUUUAUGAGCGUUUGUGGGUUCAAUAUUUGAGUUUUUUAUGAUUGUCUUUAGGUUUAAUUUGCUUUUACGCAAUAAAGGCUCUUGCGUCAAAGGUGUCA
Long non-coding RNA from Syngnathus typhle (broad-nosed pipefish), 7283 nucleotides. RefSeq lists it as uncharacterized. NCBI's taxonomy places the organism in Eukaryota, Metazoa, Chordata, Actinopteri, Syngnathiformes, Syngnathidae. The transcript is spliced from 4 exons. The record is from RefSeq and is a predicted model, not a curated record.